UAUUAAUAUGCUGUGGUUCUUUUACGUACUAAAAGGUUAAUACAAAUUCUUUUACAACCCUAAAGUCCUAGCAAGAACUGUUCUAAUUCUAAUGUCAGCAAUCAUCAAAGCAUCAGCAAUUAUCAAGUGGAUACAUGGUUUUGAAUCUAUAGUAAUUUUUAAAAAGUAGUAAUACAUAUUUUGUAAGAAUUGUAGUAAUUACCGUGAUCGAUUAUGUCUUGAAAUAAUCAAGAAAUAUGCUGCUAAAUAAGUCUGCUGAGUAAACUUUCGCUUCUCUAUUUUGUUUUGACGUUAUUCUAUUCAACAGGAGCUCAAAAGAUCCUAAAUUUAAAAUUGAAUAAAAUUCCAAUUCAAAUAUGAAUAUUCAAAAACAAAAAUAACAAAAAAGAUAUGGAUCAGAAUAUCUGGCUUGGAUUUUCUCCCAGAAGGAAGAAAAUACAUAAAAAGCGCUCAGUAAUUUCAGCUUCGAUCAUCUGGGGAAAUAAUCAUCACGUCCAUAUUCACUUUCAAUCAAAUUCUAUUAACAACUAAAUAAUUCAAUUUAACCAACAAUUUUUUUAAUGACUUGUAACUUCAACAAAAAUUAAGGGAAGAAAUGGAAUGGAAGAACAUGUAUCAGAAUAUCUGGCUUGGAUUUUCUUCCCAAAGAAAGAAAAUACAGAAAAAGCGCUCAGUAGUUUCAGUUUCGAUCAUCUGGGGAAAUAAUCAUCACAUCCACACAAAAAUUCAAUCAAAAUCAAAUUAUACUUCGUUCAAAAACGAAAUAUCAUUUUCCAACUUACAAGAAAUUAACUUUACAUUAUCAUUUUCAAAAAAAUUCUAUUGAUAAGAAUUAAGGAAAAAUAUGCAAUGAAAGGAGAUGGAUCAGAAUAUCUGGCUUGGAUUUUCUCCCCGAAGGAAGAAAAUGCAUAAAAAAGCGCUCAGUAAUUUCAGCUUCGAUCAUCUGGGGAAAUAAUCAUCACUUCCAUCUCCUUUACUGAAUUUCACAAAAUCAAAAGCAAAAAAAAAUAGAAAUAGAAACAGAUAUAGAACUGUUUAUUAACACUAAAAUAUCUCCUGAUCUGAUUCAAGCAGCUCUUUAAAGAGCAAGUGGAAAAUUUUCUGAGGCAGAAACGGAAAUAUAGAUAUUGCGUCGGGUCAUACACAACGGCCAUUUUAAAACACCGCUGGUAAUCAGUAAAUCGACGCAUUUUCACAAACAUAUAAUAUGAACAUAAACAGAAAUCAUUAAAAAUAUUUGCUAAUUGAGAUUGCGGUGGCUACUGUUGAAGAGAUGAGGGAGAAGAGGGACAACGGCGAAACAAUUG
RNAcentral lists this long non-coding RNA (1307 nucleotides) under Nicotiana benthamiana. RNAcentral's name for it is "long non-coding RNA (NBEN_LNC004816)". The record is from RNAcentral. Lineage: Eukaryota; Viridiplantae; Streptophyta; Magnoliopsida; Solanales; Solanaceae.